This is a long non-coding RNA of Girardinichthys multiradiatus, 2756 nucleotides long. RefSeq lists it as uncharacterized. The record is from RefSeq and is a predicted model, not a curated record. The transcript is spliced from 3 exons. Lineage: Eukaryota; Metazoa; Chordata; Actinopteri; Cyprinodontiformes; Goodeidae.
CCUGUGACUUUGCUUGCGGCGUGAAGCACACAGCAAGACUGGAGCAGCAAGAAGAUUCAAUGAGCAGCUCAGGAGAAGAUUCAGCGAAGAAUGGAUAUAUGAAAGUUUUUCAAGAAGCUUAUUAUUAAUCAUCACUGCUGGUAGUAACAAUUAGUUAGCUCCAGCCCCCAGCUAACAGCAUAAAGUCCCUUGUAAUUAAUGAACCAAGUGCUCCCUGUUUAAAAACCUGGCCUGCACUCCGUAUGAAAGAGUCAGGACAGAUGAGCAUAGAGAGUGAAAAGGGAGCGACCUCUUCUGGAAAGGGUCAGGCAGAAGGAGAUGCAGAGGGAGGAACAGAUCAACAGGCAAGGUCAAGUCAGACACAGCAAGGAGAUACAGAGAUGGAUCAAGAGGCAGCGGAAGAUCAAAGUUCAAGAGAGGGAAAAUGAUGAAGGAGAAGCAGCUCACUCCACUCCAGGGUUCGAUUUAGGCGACAAAGACACAGGACCCAGACAGGUGGAGCUGAAGAGCGACCCACUCGAUAGUUUUGGUACACAGAAGUGAGCAUUUCACCACAGCUGGUUUGAAAAGCACAACUGGUUAGAAUAUUCAGUCAACCAGAAUACAGCUUUCUGCUUCUCAUGUAGAGUGUUUGGCAAAAACAUCAAACAUGAUAGUCUGGUCAGUAGUGGUUGCAAGAACUGGAAGAAAGCUUUAGUCAUCUUUGGCAAACAUGAGACAGCCCAAACACACACGGACUGUUGUUUCAUGGAAAAGCUACCAGGCAACCAGCAUUCAGGGAAACGUUGCACAGAUGAUAGCAUCUGCAAAUGCGAAUGAGAUAAUAGAGAGAAGAGAGUAUCUCAGGUGAAUUGUUGCAGUCACUUCUAUGUUAGGGAGACAGGGACUCCCUUUUCGUGGCCAUGAUGAAGGUAGAGAAAGCAUAAACAGAAGGAAUUUUCUUGCUUGCAUGGAGCUUUUGAAUGAAUUUGAUCUUUUUCUUCAAAAACAUAACCCUCCAUCAAAUCCUCAGUAUAUCUCAGCAACAUCCCAGAAUGAGAUGAUUGACUGUUGUGCCAAGGAAGUUAAUAGUCUCUUUUUAUCUGAAAUGACAUAGUCCAAAAUCUAUGCCAUCGUGGCAGAUGAGGCAAGGGAUGAAAAAUCAGAGCAGUUAGCUGUAUGUGUCAGAGAGGGCAGUGAAGGAACGUUUCCUAGCACUUGCAGAGAUAAAAACAUUUGAUGCCCAGUCCAUUGUAAAUAAGCUGCAGCAGCAGAUUCAAAAUAAUGGUCUUGCAGGGCUUAAGUGUGUAGCACAAACAUAUGAUGGUGCAGCUGUCCUGAGUGGGUCCACUGGAGGUGUACAAACAUUUCAGAAGGCUCCAUCCUGAAGCUAUCUAUGUGCAUUGUUAUGCUCAUGAACUUAACCUGGUGUUGUGCCACACAUGAAAGGCCAUCCCAGAGGCUGUGGAGAUUUUCAGGCUGUUGGAGUGUUUGUACUCUUUCUUCAGCACCUCCCUGGUGAAGUUCAUGGAGGCUCAGACAAGACUUAGAUUGACAAGGGUUGAGCUUGUGCAACUUUCAAACACCCACUGGGAAAGUCAGUUGCGAUAAGUUCAGUUCUUGAGACUUUGUCCACCAUCUUUUGAGUGUCUUUCUGCUAUUAGAUCCCCCACAGCUCUUGGUCUGAGAGCAAAGCUCUAUAAGUUCUCAGCAGUCUAUGCACUACUGAUGUUUCAGUCACUUCUGUCUGUAACUGAAGGACUCCACAAGCUCCGUCAGGAAGAGACUUUAGACCUGGCAGAAGGUUUGAUCUGCAAACAAGCAGUGUGUGACACACUUGAGGGAAAACGCACAGACGCAUUUGCCACGGAGCUGUAUAAGAGAACCAAAGCCCUGUGCCACACCCACAGUAUCUCUGAACCAGGUGCCUAGACAAGGCAUAAAAAGAGGAAAACGGAGGAUUAUGUGCUGGAGGCAUCCGCAGGUUUACGUACUGAAUUGAACAACUCAGACACAUUGAAAAAAGAGUUACUUUUCCCUUGUGAGGAUAGGAUGGUUGGUGAGCUUGAGCAAAGAUUUUGCAGUGUAGAUGUACGGCUACUAACAGGCAUCCAGGCAUGCAGUCCUAAAUCUGAGAACUUCUUGAGUGAAUCACACUUGAAUGAAUUUGCAAAACACUACUGCAAUGAUCUGAAAACAGAGGAGGUUCUGGUGGCCAGAAACGUUCUUGCUUCGAAAGCAGAGGCUGGAUGUUCACCCACAGAUAUGUUGUCUGUGCACAACCUCCUUGAUUCAGUCAUGUUUCCCUCUCUGAAGGCAACCAUCCAAGUUGCCCUGACAGUGCCUGUAAGCAGCUGUUCAUGUGAAAGGUCCUUUAGUGCACUGCGUCAGCUGCACUCCUGGCUGCAUCAGAAAAGACUUCACAGUCUUGCAGUCAUGUCAAUUGAAAAAGAUUUGCUUCAGCAUCUGAGUCACAACAGAGUGAUCGAGAGAUUUGCAACCCUUAAAAACAGACUCCAUUCUUUGAUGCUUCCACCCACAAAGUAACUGGCAAUAGUCGUCCUGUUAUUUAAAAAUGAUGUACUUUGUGACAACACAGUGCUCUUUGCAUACAAUUUUGUAUAAUACAUGUGGGCUCUUAAUGAAUAAGAAGUAUUUGUAAAAUAUGGCACUGUAACAAUAUGUGGAUUUUUUUCUUGUUGUUAAUGCUGUAAACAUACUUCCUGUGUUUGUUGUGCUGCAUUAAAAACCUAAUGGUUGCUUAAAACUUUUACACA